Molecule: ribosomal RNA, 253 nt
Filed under: uncultured bacterium
Lineage: Bacteria
Description: partial 16S ribosomal RNA
Rfam family: Bacterial small subunit ribosomal RNA
Source: RNAcentral
UACGUAGGGGGCUAGCGUUGUCCGGAAUCAUUGGGCGUAAAGAGCGCGUAGGCGGCUAGAUAAGUCCGGUGUGAAAGUCACAGGCUCAACCUGUGAAUGCCGCUGGAAACUGUCUGGCUAGAGUCCGGAAGGGGCGAGUGGAAUUCCUGGUGUAGCGGUGAAAUGCGCAGAUAUCGGGAAGAACACCCGUGGCGAAGGCGGCUCUCUGGGACGGUACUGACGCUGAGACGCGAAAGCGUGGGGAGCGAACAGG